RNAcentral lists this unclassified non-coding RNA (377 nucleotides) under fungal sp. RNAcentral describes it as "partial internal transcribed spacer region". The stretch from base 1 to 46 matches the Rfam family "Eukaryotic small subunit ribosomal RNA", at positions 1786 to 1831 of the family's 1831-position model. Lineage: Eukaryota; Fungi. The record is from RNAcentral.
AAGUCGUAACAAGGUUUCCGUAGGUGAACCUGCGGAAGGAUCAUUUCCAAAAAAAAAAAUGAACAUUUAUAUACACCGUAUUUGGUGUGUGAAGUGUGUGGUGGUAUCCAAAACAUUUUAAUUUACUCUCUCUGACAACGUGGUCAUCGCGUAUGCCAAGUUUGGAAGAGAGAGGCCUUGAUGAACCACAUCCGCAAAUGUAUUGGCGUUUGUUUGUCUAAACAAACAACACUAUACAUCAUCGGACGUUAACAUUAUACUGUCUCGAUAUAUUUCUACUCGGAUUUGCACUUGUUGCCCUAAGGCACCAGGUCAAAACCAACAACACAAAAGUACCAAUAUACAGACAACUUUUAACGGUGGAUCUCUUGGCUCGU